RNAcentral lists this non-coding RNA (30 nucleotides) under Mus musculus (house mouse). The record is from RNAcentral. Lineage: Eukaryota; Metazoa; Chordata; Mammalia; Rodentia; Muridae.
UAAGCAAGAAACAAGUGCCGGGUGCUGGGU